Molecule: long non-coding RNA, 1983 nt
Organism: Ictalurus punctatus (channel catfish)
Lineage: Eukaryota; Metazoa; Chordata; Actinopteri; Siluriformes; Ictaluridae
Source: Ensembl
GUGCACUUUUGUUCUCUUGUCUGGACUUGCUGAUCUAAAGCUACCGCUAACGCAGAUUUUUCCUUUGCAUACCUUUAGAUAUAGAGUGAGACAGAGAGAGAGAGAGAGAGAGAGAGGGAGGGAGGGAGGGACAAAAAGAUAGAUAGAUAGAUAGAUAGAUAGAUAGAUAGAUAGAUAGAGAGACAUUGAGAAAGUUAGAAAAAUGAAAGAAGUAAAGAGAGGAUGGAGAAAAGAAGAGAGAGAGAGAGGCAGACUGAAGGGAAGGAAAGAGAAACUGGAAGAAGACCGAGAUAGAGAGAGAUAGAAACAGACUAAGAAAGGGUGUGAGAGUGAUCGAAAGAGAGAGGGAAAGAAGGAGGUAGAAAGAAGGGAUGAUGUAAGAAAGAAAGAGAGAAGAUGAAGUACAAAGAGAGAAAAGAAGUGAGAUAAAAAGGCAGAUUAAAAUACAGAGUGAAUAAAAAAAGAUGAGCUGCGGUUGAUGAGUCUGUCUCUGAAGUAAGACAAAGGAGUAGAGAGAUAAAGAAAUGGAGAGAGGUAAAUAAUUAAGCUAAUCAGUUAAUCACGGGGAUCGAUGAGGAUUGACACACAGGAACCUUUAGGGGUGUUGAAGUGAGCAAUCUGCCAAAAAGGCAAGUGCAGCAGUGUGUGUGGGGGAGAGUGGUGGCACCUUGCAACAGCUGGUCUCAAUUAACUACCCUAGGGGCAGGUCAGUGUGUGUGUGUGUGUGUGUGUGUGUGUGUGUGUGUGUGUGUCUGAGACCGCUGGCGCCAGCAGAGGAGCAACAGGUCAGAGAGGAUGAAGAUUAUAAAAAUACUGGCAGGCAGUUGGCCUCAGUGCUGAGUGUGUGUGAGAGCAAGUGUGUGUGUGUGUGUGUGUGUGUGUGUGUGUGUGUGUGUGUGGGAGGGAGACACUUGCUCAAUGAGACAGACUUAGAGAAUGUAUACACUUCUGACAGGCUCUCAUUGCUGAAUCAGUGCAACAUGGCGCCCUAAAACAGUCGACUUCCUGUGAAAAGGUCGCCACGUUCCUGUUUGUUCCCGUCUCUUAGGUUCUGAUCCGUAGACACAUUUCACCCAUUUUUAUUUACAUUCCACUGCCUGCCUAUGAAAAUAUUAGGAUGAAGAGAAUUUGGUUUACAAAAAAGAAAACGUCCGGGUGGUCGACCACGACGAUACGUUCCUCCAAAGUAACGAAUCUUUCAUUUUUAUAUGAAGUCCACUUUAUUUCCUUAAACAUUUUGAAACAUACCUGGCUAAAACAUGUUUAGAUGAAAUGUACUUAAGGAUAAAACUGGACAAGAACUCGUUGGACGAGAACUGUUUCUGUGGGCGUAAACAUACUCUAAAAAGUGAUUAUGGCCGUACACAGCUUUUAUACAUGGAUAAUAAUUGAGAUAAUGUCCAUGUUACUACAAUAAAUAAAGUUUUUAAUUGUACAUAUUUCUAUUUAAUGAGUUUAACAUCAACCUGCCAUUAUUUACCUAUUUACUGUUUGUUGAACUUAUAUAUUUUACUAUAUUGUAAGCUCAACAAACACCUAGCGACUAUAAAUAUUGAAAAAAAAAAAAAGCAAAAAAGUCCAAAUAUACUAGGGUAAAAUUUAAGUAGAACAUACUUAGCUGAAAAUUCACUAGCUAAAAACAUGCUAACGUACCUAGUUAAAUUGUACUAGGUGAAAAAUAUGUAGCUGAAUUUUUUUUUUUAAACAUAUUUGGCUAUUUACUGUUUGUUGAACUUACAUAUUUCACCACAGUGGAUAUUCGGCCAUUAAUUUAAAUACAUUGAUCUAUGAUUUAUUAUUCUUUUAAUAGAACAUUAUAUUAAAAUGUACUUGGCUAUAGAAUGUUUGGGAGGAAUUUACUUACAGCUAUAACUGGACAAGAACUCGUAGCGACACCUAGUGACUAGGUCUGAGUAGGAAGCAAAAAUAUAUAUAUUUUUUAAAAAUACACACACACACACACACACACACACACACACACAG